AUGAACGCUGGCGGCGUGCCUAAUACCUGCAAGUCGAGCGAACGGACGAGAAGCUUGCUUCUCUGAUGUUAGCGGCGGACGGGUGAGUAACACGUGGAUAACCUACCUAUAAGACUGGGAUAAUUUCGGGAAACCGGAGCUAAUACCGGAUAAUAUUUUGAACCGCAUGGUUCAAAAGUGAAAGACGGUCUUGCUGUCACUUAUAGAUGGAUCCGCGCUGCAUUAGCUAGUUGGUAAGGUAACGGCUUACCAAGGCAACGAUGCAUAGCCGACCUGAGAGGGUGAUCGGCCACACUGGAACUGAGACACGGUCCAGACUCCUACGGGAGGCAGCAGUAGGGAAUCUUCCGCAAUGGGCGAAAGCCUGACGGAGCAACGCCGCGUGAGUGAUGAAGGUCUUCGGAUCGUAAAACUCUGUUAUUAGGGAAGAACAUAUGUGUAAGUAACUGUGCACAUCUUGACGGUACCUAAUCAGAAAGCCACGGCUAACUACGUG
RNAcentral lists this ribosomal RNA (496 nucleotides) under uncultured bacterium. RNAcentral's name for it is "partial 16S ribosomal RNA". It matches the Rfam family "Bacterial small subunit ribosomal RNA", at positions 29 to 507 of the family's 1533-position model. The record is from RNAcentral.